Molecule: long non-coding RNA, 2212 nt
Organism: Myodes glareolus (Bank vole)
Lineage: Eukaryota; Metazoa; Chordata; Mammalia; Rodentia; Cricetidae
Source: RefSeq, a predicted model, not a curated record
CGCAGCUGGAAGAGAGAGCGACUGCAUGUUUUACAUCAGCAUUUAUAGUAUAAGAGGCCACACCCAAGUGGGCGGGUAGCUUAAAGGUUACUGACUGUAGAAUUUCCUACAGCAAUUUACUUUUAUCAAAUAUGAAGUGUUUGAAGGUUUCUAAAUUUGGGAACAAGACUGAACGUUAUAAUUUCUCUGUAAGAUAUGACUCAGAAUUGUAAUCUAAGACAUCUCUAUCACAUAUUUGUUUUGUCCUAGUGGCAUUGGGAACUGUGGUGUGUCACACAGUACACCCUUUGCUCAAACAGCUUUACUUGCAGAUGUUCACAGCAAGAGUCACCGGCCUGGUUUAGGGCCUCUGGCUUCUGCUACCUCAUCAAUACUGGCCCCUCUUCCAGACUCCUGUCAGACAUCCUGCUGGUGCCCCAGUCGUGGAGAUCCUGUGGCUAUGGUUCGGCAGGACUGGCCCCAUCACAUGCUCCAUUAGCAUGAUGAUAGGUGCUGGGGUGGGCUAAUUCAAAGUCCUGGAUCUGGGCCCGGGUGGUAGCUGCAUUGGUCAGACCCGGUCUCUGUUGGACUUCUCUUGCUCCCACAGCAAGGGUCAGGGUCAGCUCUCCUAUGCCCUCCCAGGUCUCCAUUGUCACUGCCAAGCAAGGGUCAGUAAGAAGCUGGGAGCUAGGAGCAGUGUUACAAGUAUGGUGGAAGCGGAUAUUCAACAGGUGUGAUUGGUAUGAGAGAAAGCUGCUAUUGAUAGAGUAGCAAGUCAUUGCCCAGAGGGGUCAGAGAUACAUAUUUUUCUAAAUUUUAAUUGUUUUCUUUUCAGGGGUAGGUUCCAAGGAUGGAAGGUGGAUAUGAAGGACUGGGAAAUGAGUGGGAUUGGGGUGCAUGAUGUGAAAUUGUCAAAGAAUCAAUAAAAAGAAAUAUUAAAACAAAGAAGAAAGAAAAAGAAAAGAAAAAAGUAAUAUAACUUGGUUGAUUUUGGCUAUGAUAAUGACAUGAAUGACUGCUUUUCUUCCCAGCUCAAGAAUAUUUAUUAUAACAUAAGGAGCUUGAAAUUACCUGGGUGGCAUCUUCAUAGGUGCCCAUGCAAUCUAGGAUUGGCCAUUCAGAGCACUAAAUCCACUUGCUGCCGCGACUGCUUCUGGAACAAAAUUCAAGGCCAAGUUUGAAUAGUUUCCUGAACAAGAGGGAAGUGCUCAAUUUUCUCCUGUGAAGACUAGGUUAGAGCUGCAACAAAUCUUUGUCAACUAAGGAAGAAAGGAAAGAGCUUCCUCAUGGUGGUACGAAGACAAAAAAAGUAAAAUGUAUUAAAUGUGUUAGUCCCCCAGUUAGAGCACCAGAAUGUCCUCCGAGGAGAAUAGGGUGACUUCCUGAGAUGCUAGGAUCCUGUGACAUGACCCAUCAUUAUAAUAAAAACUAAGAGCUUUCAAUUUAAGUCAUACUUCGGGUAUUUGCAUCAUUAACCUUAAACUAUGCCUUUGCUGGUUGAAUGGUCAAAGGAAAAAUAACACCAACCAGUUUCCAGUUAACAUUUAUAUUCGGCUGGACUCUCUUGAUGGACAGAAUCAACAGAAUACAGCUCAGAAAGGGCGAUUCAUUAAAACAGCUUAUCCAGUAGGGGCCAGGUCAUCUGCAAGACUGAGAAUCAGAGAACCUGGAUAGCUGCUCAGCCCGUGAAGCUGGAUCUCUCAGCAGCCCCAACCUGACACCGCAGACUUGGAAGACUCCUAAAGACUAUGCGGUCUUCAGUUCUCAAUGAAAGGCCCAAGAACCUGGAGUCUGAUGACAGGGAGGAAGGUGGAAUUAGGGAACAGGCAGAGGAGAAGACAUAGAAAGAAGGAGAACGGCGUCUGGAAAUUUAUGUCUCUUGUUAUAGUUAUUUAAAGGCUCUAUCUAGCCCAUCUGUCAUUUGUACACACGAUGGUUUGAAUGAGAAAUGUUCCUCAUAUUGUUGGUCACUUGAACACUUGGUGCUGAGCUGAUGGUGCUUUUUGCGGCUGUUUCAUUGGUAAAACCUUGCUACAGAAAGUAUGAACUAGUGGGUAGGCUUUGAGAUUAAACGCCUCAUGGCACUUUCAGUUUUCUCUGUUUCAUGCAUGAGCUGGAAGAUGUCUGCUCUCAGCUCUCCGCUCCUGCUGCCCUGCCUGCUGCUAUGCUUCCUUAUCCUGAUGGAUUAUUAUCCCUCCAGAACAAUAAAUCCAAAUAAACUUCCUCCUUCUGA